CACAGGAUUCUUGUCUCCUCUGUAAACCAUCAAGUGUUGAUGCUCAUUGUAGUAGCGCGUGAAAGUAAUUAGCGAACCAAGAUCAUAGAGACAGGAGAAACCUACCGUCUGCGCCAGCAAGACCAACGGUUAACCAAGCCAAGCAUCCAAGAAAAGUCAUGAGCGAGAGGUCCUGGGCAGGGGGAUUCAGUUAGCCCAAGAAACAGUGCAGAGCCUCGGACGUGGAGGAAAGGAGGUUUAUCUGACCAAGAAGUGCAUUACCGAGCUGCUGGAGCGCUCGUGCGAAAACUCUCACUGCGCUGUCAGUAAAUACGUCAUGGCUCAGAACCGGCGCAGCAGUCCAUGAGAACAGAGGCGCUUCGGAAUAAAACUCCUCCAGCGAAGGACAGGGAGGGGGCCUCAGACGACGUGCGACACUCCUCGGGCGCGGUGAUAACUACUAACUGUGUUGGUCAUGUUUUGCCACUGUGUAAAUUUGGUGCUGCAAUUUUGUUGCUUUGUCUUGUCCCAAGGGCGCGUUCGAGUUUCCAAAUUGAUGUGUGUCAUUGUACAAAAUUAACAAAACAAACAAAAUUCUUCUCAAAAUAUUUACAAGAGGAUUCUCCAUAAAAAACCUCAUACCAGCGUCCACACUCUCACACACAAUCACACACACACACACACACACACACACACACACACACACACACACUUCCUCAUAGUACUUUAUUGGGUUUUUCACUGUAUUACUGUAUAAAACAAUUGGUAGGCGUUCACAGUAAUACUACGGAAAUAUUUUGGCUAAUUCAUUUUAAUUAUAAAUAAUGAAAUAAUCAUUUUGUGAUUGGAAAGUAAAAAUGCACAGGUUCCUUAGGUUCCUCAAUUACAGCAUAAAACAAACAAACAAAAACAAAUGUACACUUUAAGACUUCACAUCCAUGUUCCUAUAUACAUAGCAUACUGUGUGUGUGUGUGUGUGUGUGUGUGUGUGUGUGUGUGUGUGUGUGUGUGUGUGUGUGUGUGUGUGUGUGUGUGUGUGUGUAUGUGUGUGUGAAUGAGAGAGAAAGAGCAUGUUUUAGUGAGUAAGUGGCAGGAAAGAGGCCAGUACAAGCUGGGUCUGUCUGAAUCCCUUCUGAUAAUAUUUGCUUAAACAGCAGAGCUGUGUGUAUGCUGCAAUGAGGAGAGUUUGUCAUUUAAUCAGUGCUAAGAGACAUACGACACUUGUGUUAUGCAUACACUUUAUUUCAUUCUCUCACUCUCAAUCACACAAGCAAACUCCACACACAUGUGUAUGCAAGCACACACACACACAGCAGUCACCACUCUAAAAUCAUAACGAUUUAUUGUUAUUACAAGUCAUACCAUGUUCAAUGAUUAAUUUAUGUAUUUAUAUCAUGCACAAACUGAAGCUUGUGUAAAAGAAAUCUCUUACAAGUCCUCAGUUUUGCUGUGGUAUCUUUAUUGCGCCCUCUGCUGUUAUACACGGGUGCGGUUGAGCAUGAUAAAGCUCAAUGAAGAUGAGUCUCUAGAUGAGGGGUGCUGAUGUCCGGUUUUGGUGAUCUACCACCCUGCAACGUUUAGUUCCAAUCCUGUUCUAACGCAUUUCAUACAGUUAAUAAAGUCUUUCAGUAGCAUCUUAAAAUCAGGUGUGCUAGAUUAUGGUUUUUAUAUAAAUGUACCAUCACAUACUAGGCCUAUUGUUCAAACCUUAAUGCCACUGUGUGUGUGUCAGAAAUGUGUCAAAAGUUUACAGAAUUAUUUUCUGAUUUGAGAAUACAAUAAUUUGCUGCCAGAAGUUUCGUUAUGAUUUCACAGCAACUUUGCACUGUAUAGUUAGCAUUUCCUGUUAAACAUAUUGAAAAGA
Long non-coding RNA from Electrophorus electricus (electric eel), 1843 nucleotides. RefSeq lists it as uncharacterized. The record is from RefSeq and is a predicted model, not a curated record. NCBI's taxonomy places the organism in Eukaryota, Metazoa, Chordata, Actinopteri, Gymnotiformes, Gymnotidae.